Molecule: unclassified non-coding RNA, 342 nt
Filed under: soil metagenome
Description: partial contains 5.8S ribosomal RNA, internal transcribed spacer 2, and large subunit ribosomal RNA
Rfam family: 5.8S ribosomal RNA (bases 1-120)
Source: RNAcentral
GAUGAAGAACGUAGCAAAAUGCGAUAAGUAAUGUGAAUUGCAGAAUUCAGUGAUUCAUCGAAUCUUUGAACGCACAUUGCGCCCGCCAGUAUUCUGGCGGGCAUGCCUGUUCGAGCGUCAUUUCAACCCUCAAGCCCCCGGGUUUGGUGUUGGGGAUCGGGCUGUACUCCAGCCCGGCCCCGAAAUCUAGUGGCGGUCUCGCUGCAGCCUCCAUUGCGUAGUAGCUAACACCUCGCAACUGGAACGCGGCGCGGCCAAGCCGUUAAACCCCCAACUUCUGAAUGUUGACCUCGGAUCAGGUAGGAAUACCCGCUGAACUUAAGCAUAUCAAUAAGCGGAGGA